This 468-nucleotide ribosomal RNA is filed under the name uncultured bacterium. RNAcentral describes it as "partial 16S ribosomal RNA". It matches the Rfam family "Bacterial small subunit ribosomal RNA", at positions 28 to 507 of the family's 1533-position model. The record is from RNAcentral.
GACGAACGCUGGCGGCGUGCUUAACACAUGCAAGUCGAACGGAAAGGCCCUGCUUUUGUGGGGUGCUCGAGUGGCGAACGGGUGAGUAACACGUGAGUAACCUGCCCUUGACUUUGGGAUAACUUCAGGAAACUGGGGCUAAUACCGGAUAGGAGCUCCUGCUGCAUGGUGGGGGUUGGAAAGUUUCGGCGGUUGGGGAUGGACUCGCGGCUUAUCAGCUUGUUGGUGGGGUAGUGGCUUACCAAGGCUUUGACGGGUAGCCGGCCUGAGAGGGUGACCGGCCACAUUGGGACUGAGAUACGGACCAGACGCCUACGGGAGGCAGAAGUGGGGAAUAUUGCACAAUGGGCGGAAGCCUGAUGCAGCAACGCCGCGUGCGGGAUGACGGCCUUCGGGUUGUAAACCGCUUUCGCCUGUGACGAAGCGUGAGUGACGGUAAUGGGUAAAGAAGCACCGGCUAACUACGUG